GCCCCUUUGGGGACAUUUGAUAAAAUUGGAACGAUACAGAGAAGAUUAGUAUGGGCCUUGUGCAAGGAUGACACGUACAAUUCAACAAAAAUCACUUUCCUUU
Molecule: non-coding RNA, 103 nt
Organism: Cucumis melo (muskmelon)
Lineage: Eukaryota; Viridiplantae; Streptophyta; Magnoliopsida; Cucurbitales; Cucurbitaceae
Source: Rfam